AGACCAUGAUGGGGACAAUCUAAGGGGAGGUCAUUGAAUCGUUCCAUGCACCUAAAGAAUGUUUCAUUGGGUCUCUGAUGAAACUGGAGAAUGUCGUUCCUAAGCUU
This 107-nucleotide small nucleolar RNA is filed under the name Cephalotus follicularis. RNAcentral describes it as "Plant small nucleolar RNA R71". It matches the Rfam family "Plant small nucleolar RNA R71". From Rfam's summary of the family: R71 is a member of the C/D box family of snoRNAs containing the C (UGAUGA) and D (CUGA) box motifs. Multiple nearly identical copies of this snoRNA have been identified in Arabidopsis, and it is thought to function as a 2'-O-ribose methylation guide for 18S ribosomal RNA. The record is from Rfam by way of RNAcentral. Lineage: Eukaryota; Viridiplantae; Streptophyta; Magnoliopsida; Oxalidales; Cephalotaceae.